This 566-nucleotide ribosomal RNA is filed under the name uncultured archaeon. RNAcentral's name for it is "bacterial SSU rRNA". It matches the Rfam family "Archaeal small subunit ribosomal RNA", at positions 5 to 575 of the family's 1478-position model. The record is from RNAcentral.
CGGUUGAUCCCGCCGGAGGCUACCGCUAUUGGAGUUCGAUUAAGCCAUGCGAGUCGAGAGUCCUCGGGACUCGGCGUGCCGCUCAGUAGCACGUGGGUAACCUGCCCUAUGCUGGGGAAUAACCUCGGGAAACUGAGAAUAAUGCCCCAUAGCCCACUACGCCUGGAACGGUGAGUGGGUCAAAGCCCCGGCGGCAUAGGAUGGGCCUGCGCCGUAUCAGGUUGUAGGGGGUGUAAAGUACCCUCUAGCCAUCAACGCGUACGGGUGUUGGGAGACAUUGCCCGGAGAUGGAUUCUGAGACACGAAUCCAGACCCUACGGGGUGCAGCAGGCGCGAAAACUUGGCAAUGCGAGCAAUCGUGACCAGGGAACUCCAAGUGCGUAGGGUAAGACCUACGCUUUUCUUGACUCUUCAAAGGUCUUGGAAUAAGGGGUGGGUAAGGACGGUGCCAGCCGCCGCGGUAAUACCGGCGCCUCAAGUGGUAGUCGCUUUUAUUGGGCCUAAAACGUCCGUAGCCGGUCUGGUGCAUUCGUGGGUAAAUCAACCCGCUCAACGGGUUGAAUUCU